GACGAACGCUGGCGGCGUGCCUAAUACAUGCAAGUCGAGCGAACGGACGAGAAGCUUGCCUCUCUGAUGUUAGCGGCGGACGGGUGAGUAACACGUGGAUAACCUACCUAUAUGAGUGGGGUAACUCCGGGAAACCGGAGCUAAUACCGGAUGAUAUUUUGAACCGCAUGGUUCAAAAGUGAAAGACGGUCUUGCUGUCGCUUAUAGAUGGAUCCGCGCUGCAUUAGCGAGUUGGUAAGGUAACGGCUUACCAAGGCAACGAUGCAUAGCCGACCUGAGAGGGUGAUCGGCCACACUGGAACUGAGACACGGUCCAGACUCCUACGGGAGGCACCAGGAGGGAAUCUUCCGCAAUGGGCGAAAGCCUGCCGGAGCAACGCCGCGUGAGUGAUGAAGGUCUUCGGUUCGUAAAACUCUGUUAUUAGGGAAGAACAUAUGUCUAAGUAACUGUGCACAUCUUGACGGUACCUAAUCAGAAAGCCACGGCUAACUACGUG
Molecule: ribosomal RNA, 497 nt
Filed under: uncultured bacterium
Lineage: Bacteria
Description: partial 16S ribosomal RNA
Rfam family: Bacterial small subunit ribosomal RNA
Source: RNAcentral